GGUGGCCUAGUGGUUAGAGCGUCGGCCUCAGAUGCAAGAGGUCGUGGGUUCGAUCCCCGAUAAGAGUCA
This is a non-coding RNA of Potamilus streckersoni, 69 nucleotides long. The record is from the annotation of a GenBank genome assembly. Lineage: Eukaryota; Metazoa; Mollusca; Bivalvia; Unionida; Unionidae.